CUUAUGCCGGCGACCGGCGGACGGGUGCGUAACGCGUAUGUAACCUACCUUUGACAGGGGGAUAACAUCGAGAAAUUGGUACUAAUACCCCAUAACAUCACCGGAGGCAUCUUCGGUGGUUGAAAACUCAGGUGGUCAGAGAUGGACAUGCGUUGUAUUAGCUAGUUGGUGAGGUAACGGCUCACCAAGGCGACGAUACAUAGGGGGACUGACGAGGUCAACCCCCCACAUUGGUACUGAGACACGGACCAAACUCCUACGGAAGGCAGCAG
Molecule: ribosomal RNA, 272 nt
Filed under: uncultured bacterium
Lineage: Bacteria
Description: partial 16S ribosomal RNA
Rfam family: Bacterial small subunit ribosomal RNA
Source: RNAcentral